UUAAAGCCCUAGGGGAGUUUCUGACUGAGAGCCCGGCCACAGCGGGCAACCCUUUGAACCUGAUCCGGGUCAUUCCGGCGGAGGGAAGCGGCGCCAACUCCGG
This 103-nucleotide non-coding RNA is filed under the name Desulfuromonadales bacterium. Its description in RNAcentral is "TPP sequence". It matches the Rfam family "TPP riboswitch aptamer (THI element)". Rfam says of the family: Vitamin B(1) in its active form thiamin pyrophosphate (TPP) is an essential coenzyme that is synthesised by coupling of pyrimidine and thiazole moieties in bacteria. The previously detected thiamin-regulatory element, thi box was extended, resulting in a new, highly conserved RNA secondary structure, the THI element, which is widely distributed in eubacteria and also occurs in some archaea. Lineage: Bacteria; Pseudomonadati; Thermodesulfobacteriota; Desulfuromonadia; Desulfuromonadales. The record is from RNAcentral.